Molecule: ribosomal RNA, 324 nt
Filed under: uncultured eukaryote
Lineage: Eukaryota
Description: partial 18S ribosomal RNA
Rfam family: Eukaryotic small subunit ribosomal RNA
Source: RNAcentral
CCCUUAGAUGUCCUGGGCCGCACGCGCGCUACACUGAAGCUAUCAACACGUUUUCCCUCCCUGAGAAGGGCGGGUAACCUUUUGAAUCAGCUUCGUGGUAGGGAUCGGGGCUUGCAAUUGUUCCCCGUGAACCAGGAAUUCCUAGUAGACGCGAGUCAUAAGCUCGCAUCGAUUAAGUCCCUGCCCUUUGUACACACCGCCCGUCGCUACUACCGAUUGAACGUUUUAGUGAGGCAUUUGGACCGACGCAUCUCAGUUUAACCGCUGGUUUGUGUCGGAAAGACUUCCAAACUUGAGCGUUUAGAGGAAGUAAAAGUCGUAACA